Molecule: RNA transcript, 1502 nt
Organism: Triticum aestivum (bread wheat)
Lineage: Eukaryota; Viridiplantae; Streptophyta; Magnoliopsida; Poales; Poaceae
Exons: 6
Source: RefSeq, a predicted model, not a curated record
CUCCUUGCGCACUCCGGCACUCGCGCCCGCUCCUCCCGCACGCGCGCCCCGUCCUCACCUCUCUCCUCCUCCAAACCCUACCCCGCGCCCGCCUCCCUGAACUGCCGCCGGCACCGCCGCCGCCGCUCGCCCGGGCACCCAUCCCCGGCCUCACGCCACCCAUCUAGAGAGAUGGCGGCCGCGCACGACGAGGUCGGCCUAGCCGCCGCCUCCUUCUCCCGCGACCGCGCCGCCCUCUCCUCCUUCCUCCCGCCUCCCUGCCGUGCCGCCCCGCCGCCUCCUCCCUCGCUCGCUUCCUCUCCUCCCGCAGCCGCCUCCCCCCUCCCUCACUCGCUCCUAAUCCGGCGACGGCGGUAGCGGCUGCCGCGCCCACACCCAUCUGCUCCCCGCCGCCAUCACCUCCAGUAAUGUCGCUGCUCCCGUCGAGCUCGAGCGUUCCAUCGCCAGGAGGAGCGGAGGUUGCCGCAACAGCAGCUGCUCGGACGUCUCUCCCUCGGCGGUGCCGGAUCCAGUGUCCACCAUCGCUGUACCUCGGGACUCCCCCCCCCCCCCAAGCCCAGUGCUGGAUGAGGUCAUGGCGUCCCCAAGCUUUUUAGGUUGGCUGCUCCUCCUCUGUCUGUGGCGUCCCAGAGAAGAAAGGUUUUCAAGGCGGUUUUGUGUAGAACAGCCACGGAGCAGAAACAACGAACAUGCUACUUCAGCAACAGCUAGGCGCUUUCCAUCGACAACCGGGACUCCACGCCUAAGCUGUUGAUUACCUCAUUUUAUUCAUCUUCUCCGUAUAUUAAUUCGAUUGCCUGCUACAUUCUUCUUCAUUGCACGGGUGGCACUUUUGCUUGUGUCUUGUUAUCUUUUUGAUAGCCUGUAUCACUGAUGGCCUUCCAUUGGCGGAGUGCUUAGAUGGUGGUUAUGUGAAGGAUGUUGUCUUCUACAAGUAGCAAGAAAAAUUGUUGUUCAAAAACAUAUCUAAAGGCCAACAUGAAUCAUCAAGACUGUCAACUGAGACUGGACCAUACCGUUCCAGGUCAAGGAUGGAGCCUCCACAGUGCCUAUGAGCCAUGCUUUUUCCCACCCAGUAAAAUGGUCUAUUUUCAAGUGGCAUCAUACGGUGAAGGAGGGGAUCUGGAUCAAGAGCCGUAAUGGUGCUUGUGAUGGCAUGUCUAGCACUUGCGCGACCCUGGAGUCUGACUUCUUCUUGCAAGUUGACCAUACUAUUGUGAGAAUCUCAGCCAGGAUCAUUCUUUAUAUCAUGUUGGAUCAUCUUGGAAUUCGUAGAGCCAUUUACCGUCGAAGGAUGUACUCACAGAACAAAUCAGUGUGAUUAUGCUUUUCUACAUUUCUGUCCAAAGUAAUGGGAUAUGUAUUCUGUACUGUACAACUACCCUCUAAUGCACUACUCAGCCUUCAAUCUCUGUAUGUACAAAUGACUUGAUCUAAUUAUUAUGAACGACAUAUGGAGUGUGCUGCUUUCUAUAUAAAUGGCUUGCUCUAAUUCUGAUUUA